CCUACGGGCGGCAGCAGUGAGGAAUAUUGGUCAAUGGACGAGAGUCUGAACCAGCCAAGUAGCGUGAAGGAUGACUGCCCUAUGGGUUGUAAACCUCUUUUAUAAAGGAAUAAAACGAGGCACGUGUGCCUUUUUGCAUGUACUUUAUGAAUAAGGAUCGGCUAACUCCGUGCCAGCAGCCGCGGUAAUACGGAGGAUUCGAGCGUUAUCCGGAUUUCUUGGGUUUAAAGGGAGCGUAGAUGGGUUGUUAAGUCAGUUGUGAAAGUUUGCGGCUCAACCGUAAAAUAGCAGUUGAUACUGGCAGUCUUGAGUACAGUUGAGGUAGGCGGAAUUCGUGGUGUAGCGGUGAAAUGCUUAGAUAUCACGAAGAACCCCGAUUGCGAAGGCAGCUUACUAAACUGUGACUGACAUUGAUGCUCGAAAGUGUGGGUAUCGAACAGGAUUAGAUACCCGAGUAGUC
Molecule: ribosomal RNA, 460 nt
Filed under: uncultured bacterium
Lineage: Bacteria
Description: partial 16S ribosomal RNA
Rfam family: Bacterial small subunit ribosomal RNA
Source: RNAcentral